UUAUAAACAGGAGGGUAGUCAACUUUUUACAUGGGUAGGUAUUGACAGAACAAGGAGGAAUGGUUUUAAACUAGAGAGAAGAGUUAGAUUAGAUGCUGGGGAGAAGUUUUUCACUGAGAGAGUAGUGAGGUGCUGGCACAGGCUGCCCAGAUUGGUUUUGAAUGCCCCAACCCUAGAGGUGAUUAAGGCCAGGUUGGAUGGGGCCCUGGGAUCUGAUCCAGUACUUGAUCUUGUGGCUGGCAACACUGCCUGCAGCAGGGGGGCUGGAACUUGAUGAUCCUUAAGCUCCCUUCCAACCCAAGCCAUUCUCUGAGUCUAUGACUUCGUUCUGCCUCUCACCAAGCUCUGAGGCUGGCCACAGGUAGUCUUUUCUUACCUUGUAGCAGCUUUGUGUGGGAGAAUAAUAUUUGGGAGCAGAGGAGGUGUUCAGCAUGCAGGAGGGCAGCUGACAACAUGGCCAACAGACCACUAAGACCUGGCUUUCUAGCAUGCAGUAUGUUGUAUACCAAGAUUCAUCUCUUCUGCUGCCCUUUUAACUGCUGACAGGAGCCUUGCCCCUCACAAACCGAAAGGAAUAUGAUUAGAAGACAGUAAAGAGCCACAAAGUAAAGCAAAAACAAAACAAAACAAAACCACAGUAAAAACCCAUGCUUACAUCAGCACCUUUAUCACCUUCCUCGCCCUUCUUGCCUGGUUCACCCUAAAACAAACAGAAAAGAGAAAUUUGUCUCCAUAUGACCGAGGAUCCUGCCCAGAAUCACUUCCCUCCAAUGGACUACAGUAAAGAUGACUCCUGAGCUCUGCCCUAGCUCCCAGCAGCUUCCCAAGAGGUCACUGCUAUUUCUCACAUUGAUAAACUUGGCUGGGGGUGGCCAAGCUGCACGAGGGGCUGGCUGCCAUGGCCUGGACCUACAGCAGAUCUCAAUGAACAAUGUCUUAGUCCACAGCGUUGAGAAAGAAAUGCUGUUCUCCUCCCCCAAACAUGCAAUUGUGCAUCUUUGAUUUACACCAUAAAGUUCCUCCUUUCUUCUUUCAUUAAUUACUCAUAUCAUUUUCUGCCUCUGAAGAUGCUCAUUAAGCCUUCUGUGAGCAAAAUCCCUACGUGCUGUGAACACUGGUCUGAUGUUCCCCCUAACCUAAGUUCGUGCAUUUCCUGAAGAACAGAAGACACAAAGAGAUUAAGCCACAAGCUAAAGACAAAGCCUAACAAAUGGCUGAAUGAAAUAGGGUGGAAAUGCCUGGACUCUUCAGACUCACUGGACAUCCCUGACAUACUUGCAAAGCAGAGAGUGAGGAUGGGAUGAAGGGCUGAAGAAAAGGUUGUAGGUGCUGUACAGUAUGAUGAGAUGGAAUUAAGGAAGGGUGAAGAGAAACUUCCCAGAGGAACCAGGAUCUCUCUGAAUGCUGCCAGUCAAGACACCCAACUUGUUCCACUCACUUUCAGCCAAACUUCAACUCUGUUUGCACUCUAGCCAUACGUGCCUAUGCAGACAUUGCCUGAGUGCACUGGUUCAGCUACUGCCAAAAAAUCAUUUGGCCAAGUCUCUUACUCUCAUUAAAGGUUUUCCAGCUCAGCUUGGCAGAUCAAGGUGCAAGAGGACACCGAGAGCAGCUGAUGUACCUUGGGUUAACAGUGCCCUUUGAGUUCUGGUAGUGCCAGGAACCUCACAGGGCAGGGAAGAGAUUCUGUCUGCCAGACUUUGGCUAGAGGGGAUCUGCAAAUACUGCACAUCUCCUCCAUUGGCAUGUUGCCUUCCUGAUCACUGCUCUCCACCUCUGACCUGUUAACAGGACUUUGUCAGCAGUCCUUUCCUGCAGUGCACUUUAUGCCAUUGACUGCCCUGUUGACAAAAGACCAUUAGCAGAAGAUGGCUGGUAAGGCUGCAGACAUAGAUGCUACCUUGCUUUGCACUGUGCAGUUAGGGCUUCCCAUGAGGCAAAAGCUAUCAACAGAACAACUGAACUUAGAGCAAGUAACCUCCUCUCCUAAAAAAAAUCAAUGGGAAUCUGGCUGCUCUGUGAUACUUCUGGCUCUAGAAGGAAGACUCACAGCUGCAAGACACCAGCUCCAUUCCUUGAGCCACCCAAGGUGGAGAAAGCCUAUGGGAUCACUCUGACACACUCCACAUUUCAGUGCUAUGUUUCGCAUUCCAUUUGCAGAGGAAUACUUAAGCACCUUUGGUCACCCCUCUGUUUUUUUGGAGUACUGAGCAGAAAAAAAGGAGAAAAGGAGAUGCACGUCAUCUACAGCUACCUACCUGCAGGCAGUGACCUCCAACGUGAUGGUAAAAGUGGCACUUGGAAGAGAAUUUGUUCCCUACAGCUGCAGCACAAGAGCAUGCCUAUACAGCCACCACUGCAGAUAUCUUUUUCUUUUUUUCCUAACAGGUGCCAGCCAACAUUUUUCUUCUCUCUUUCUUUAAUUCUUUGACCAUUCCACAGUAGGGUCUCAAUAACGUUCCACAGUCCAUCUACACCCACUUCCACAUUUUGCAGAUCUAACUGCUCAAUGCUUGCACCAUGUACUAAGAUCUCUGGUGAUUUUGUGUCCCUAGUGCUUCUCAGAAGCAGUUUCAAAGACCGUGGCCUUUUGGAGAGUAAGCUUGACAGAAACAGCUGUAGGCCAAACUGCCAUCUGAAACCCUUCCUUAAAUGCUGGAGUGGGGAUCUGACAUGGAUAUAUCCUUGUUAAGAUUUUUCUCUGUUCGUUCCUAAAUUUCAUCUGUGUGCUAAUAAUAUUCCAACAGCCCUUCUUGCUACAGUUGUUAUCAUUUGACAUAAUUCAUUGAGGACUGAGGUAUAGCAAACUUUCUAAAUAAAUUAAGAGCAUCACUUGACCUGGGGAACAACUUUGGUUCAGAAGUCUGAUGAGCUUUUACUGCAUUACCAUCACAGAUGGAAGUCAUCAGAACAUCUAAAACAGUCCACACUAAAGAGCUUUGGUUGGCAGAAGAAGGCUGGCCUCUGCCAGGUUUAACAUUCCAAGUAUUUAUUACCUCUAUCUCCUUAGGGAACACCAGACACUAUGUAAGUUAUUCAGUCUUUUAUCUGUAUGGGAAACCUUCAUCUUGUUGGUUUGUUUUGGGUUUUUUUUCUUGCAAAAGACUUAGAAAUUCUACAUUUAAAAUUGGUCAUGGCUGCAGUCCCACAGAAUCUGAAAGAGCUGUAUAAGUUUCUAAGGCAUUCACCCAGAUCUCGCUGGGAAUCCCUCCACAUACGUAAAACCUUACCCUCUCUCCUCGGUCUCCUUUGGAGCCUUUGGGCCCAGGUUGUCCUGGAGAGCCUGGUAAGCCCUAGAAGAGAUGCAUGACAAGAAGAAUUUAGUUUCUAUUGCACAUCCAUUAUGAAGAUAUAGCCAAUACAUUUCCCAGUGAUCCUCAGCUUCUGUAAACCCCAUAUAUGCAUUAAGUGACUAGGCUGGAUUCUUGUUUGCCCUCAAGCAAUAACAAUGGAAGCUCUUUUUGCAGAUACCUUAAGCCCUAUAUUUUCUACAUAUCCCUCUUCUUAGUUCUCUUAAUGAACUGCAUGCUGCUGAUAUAACAUUUUGUGAAGGGUCAAUGUGACAGGAUAGUUCUUGUUCUCAGUGACUGAGAAGAAAUUAACAAAUAGAUGGUAUGGUGAGCCUAAAAAUCCCCGCUGCUUUCCCCCCUCUUCAUAAUUGCCUCAGUGGGUGGCAUGAGUAACCAUACAUACCUGAAAAUUAAUUGGAUUGUGUAGUGGAAAUUAUUUUGAAGCGAUUCACUCACCCUAAUAAACAAUUUUCAAAUUAAGCCCAAUCUCUACUAAUAAUUUUGCUCCCUGGGUUGAGUAAAUCUAUAAAGCAAAUCACCAAUGGUUAUGAAGGGUGUUGUCUCCAGACUUCUACUAAUUGAACUGCUCUGCAGAAAUUGAUCCAAAUUCUUAAAUUACCCAUCCAGUGAAGCCGCAGUGAGAAACCAGGCAGGAAGAGAACAACACUGUUUGUUUCUAUUUACCAUGUCAGCUCCACAUGACCGUAUGCAAGAUGCUUUUUUCCACCUCAAGUAACUUGAACUUGAAGUCCUUGGAGACUGCAGCACAAGGAACCCCAGCUCCGCAUCAGGCAGCUGCUGCUUCACGCUGACUUGUUUAACAGCAGCCCCCACUACCCACCACCUCUCAGCAUCCAGUGAAAUGGGCUUUCUAGCACAGCCGCCAGGAACCUCAGCCUGUAGUUAAGUGGCCCAACAAGGUCAGGCCUUAGUGUUUCAAGGGACAGUGGGAGGAACGCUCUCCCAGUUUCAGGAUUUUGAGGGACUAGUGGAGAAGCACUCUCUCAGCUUCAUCUGGGAGGCAGCCCUGCUCACCAUUAUCACGUUGCUCCUUGCCUGCAGUCAGUCCAACCAGCUCACCAUCAACUUGUGCAAGAUGGCAGCUUAGCUACGCCACCUCUGUAUCCACAAAAGAUGCACAGAUUCAAGCGUGAUAGAGGAGGUUAACCAGGGCUGGCAAGCAAGGUAGGGCACAGACCAGAUUUGGCCUUAUGUCAAAAAGCAGCGUGAACAAAGCUCAAGUGUCCAUAGGUGACCUCUGCACCUGACAGCUCUGUACAUUCGACUUCAGUGCGUGUUUGCAGAGGGAUGCUCAAGGAACACUGAAUUAAACAAGUCUCUUGUUAAAAAUAAAAAAUUUAUAAUGCCUACUGCAUGUGAAAAAGCCAGACUCUAUUAAAGAACCUAUUUAUGAAUUGUGAAUUACCUUAUAUUUAAUCACGUUAAACUGCAACUGUCGUUUGACUGCCAAACUUCCCACUGUGUUCAUAUCUAUCUGGCGUUUCUCACCGCUCUCCAGAGCAUUCACUAAUUGAAAUGAUUCUGCUACACUGGCAAAAUUUCACUAACUUGCUCUCAUUGCUUCUUCAAAGUGAUUAAUAAAUACAUAGUAGAAGUCUCCUUUCUCUAAUUUCCAGCAAUCCCAAACCUGUCAUAUCAGGAUCUAAGUCACAUCCGUUGUCUAAAUUACUUAAACUUUCUCUCUCUUCUGUACUUCUCAGUCACUUUUAUCUCUUUAAUUCAAGUAAGAUACCUAAUAUAGAAAUAUUUGUUGUCACUGGUUUGCCUCUACAGUAGGAAACAUUCAUCCCAAACUAGAGUCCUGUUGUAUCAGCCAACCACCAUCUGCAGCAGUUUGGCCACUCAUUAUUCAUCAUAACCUUCAUUUUUUCAACUUCUUUUUUCAUCCAUGUGGCUAUUUUGCCCUUCCACCAUAAAACAUUCUUUUGACUGAGUUUACAAUUCCCCAUAAUUAUCCUCCCCUCCACAAUUUUGGUAUCAAUAUCUAAUGAAUCAAACUGAUUGGAAUUUGUGAAGUUUGUACUGAAUGGAAAGUGCUAUUUCCAAUAAAUUAGGAUGAAGAAAUUCACCUUGGUGAACUGGUGAAUUCUCAAUGACACAUUUUUCCUCUUUUAUGUGUUCCACAGGAAAUGCAGUGUUUUUCUAUCACAAUGUUAGUAAAGCCCACGUCAAAUCCUUUGCAUCAACUCAGGCUACGGUGAAAUGUUUUGACACAGUAGCAGCAAGAUAUGUUGUUAUGAUUGAGGGAAAACCUGGAAAGUAGAACCAUUUCAACUUCUUAACCCAGUUCAUUAUGAAAGACAGGUAUGAAAAUCACAGACUUUCAUGAGGAGCUAGGCAUUGCAUCUAAGACCUAUAAAAUAGUUCUCCUCUUUCUGAAAUGAGAAGAUGCUCCACACCUACCCCCCAACUCUGCCCCUCAGCCCAAAGCAGGAAAACCCUUACUUGUGAUCCAGGGACUCCGAUAGGUCCUGGAGGCCCUUUGGGUCCCGAUGCACCCGGUGGUCCUGGGGGGAAUCAUCAGUUGAGACAAUGUUAAGGAGAUUUAGAAGGCUCUUAAAUUUCAAACAUAUGCGUUUCAUUUUAUUGUUCUACUUCAUCUCCAGUGGGUGAGAGCCAUUCAUUGAUCACAAGACUGCAGCAUAAGUACUACAUCAUGCACCGGAUUCUUGGACACCCAUAUCCUAAUAUCACACGUGCCUUAGGGAAGCUCUUAGAGCUCGGGGAGGAAAAAAAAGGUGAAAAUAGGCAGGAAGGAUGACAGCAAGGUGCUGCAAAAUAACAGCUCUGAAGAAAUCUUAAGCUAGAUCCAUGAAACAUCAGAGCGGACUGCUGUUUUAGAAAUGGAGGAAGUCCUGCAGGUGGCCAGGGAAGUCUGCAAGUCUGCAUGAGUCAGUCUCUGGUGCUGAUGAACACAAAGGAGACAGAGGUUGGAUGUAGCCAGAACGAGAAGCCAACUGUGGCAAAGCAAAGCACUCUUUUGUUCUUUGCAUGCUCACUUCAGUAGCAAAAAAGUUCUUUUUAAGUCUGUAUCACAGAAGAGGCCGUUUCCAGGACAUGUUAAACACUGCCUGAACAGGUCAAAUUGUUUUACAGUCACAGAACAAAUUCAUUACUUUUGGAAAGAUAAUUAUAUCCCAACUGCAGCUGUUAAAUUGUACCUGGAAAUGAGAGACAGGAUAUUUGCUUAGUCUGAAUUUAGUAAUACUCCUCUCUGCUUUGGUUGUCAAAACCCUUGAGAUGAAACAACGCAGACACCAUGUACAAAGUACAGCUGAAUUAGCCUCAAUCAUUAAUGCACCAUACAAAUGCUUAAGUCAGAGAAUAAAGGAACUGAAGGAUAAAUUAAAGGCCCUCAUAAUGAAAGGAAAAGUUUUCUGCAACUGAUGUGAGUUCGCUCCUAAAUAUGUAUCAUACUGGGACAUGCUGAUGUUUGCAGGAAUAUUAUCAUUUAAUCCACUUAUCAGCACUGAGAAACAAAAGAUUUGCUACUGAAUUUUGGUCCCAGAUUCUGAUGUCAGUUAUAUAGGUGCAAAUCUGGAGUAGCUCAAACCAUCUCCAAAGUGUGCAGAGAUAUCACUGAGAACAGCUGGUCAGAUCCUGCUCAGUAGAGCUCUACAGCAACCAGACAGGAUUGCACCAGCAGUGAGAACAGCUCUGCUCCCACAGAGGAAUUCAAAGGGCAACCCACUCUUAAAGGCACUCUUCAAUUAUUCCCUUCUCAGAGUAUGUCCUCUCAAAGCAGCAAGGAAACAUUAGAAGUCUCAAGAAAAAUCUGCCUCUAUAAACAGAUAAGAACUAGUUACUUCUUGCCAUCCUACCCACUACCCAUGGCUGCACAGCCCUUCCACUGAGGACCACGUGCUUUCCCCGCAGGCAUCCCACAGCACACUUCCUCUCCUUGCUCCUUUGCUCCUCUUCCCUAUCACUACAGCUUUGCAGCUCAACUGAGUGCAUUACCUGGGGGUCCCACAGGGCCCGGUGCUCCCCGUGGUCCUGGUAGGCCAGCCAUGAUGGUAUCUAUGACAGUGGAAGCCAACUGGGGUUCUCCAUCUGUGUUAAAAAGCAGAACAGUCAGUGCCCCUGCAGCAAGAGCCGCCCAGUCCCAGGACUUUCUCUCCAAAACCCUCUGGCGCCUGUUGCUGGUGAAGGGCAGGCAGAGCUUCUGGAUGCAAGAUCUGGACUCCAGGAGCAAUCCAAGAGCAUAGGCUGUAUCCCCCAGAUCUCAUCCCAUCUCUUCUGAGCCCUGAAGAAUCGUCCUUUCUGUCCAAAAACUGGUGUUCCUGCACACCCAUAUUGUAUUACCUUUGGAAUGCUGAAGCAGUUUAAAAGUAGCUCUGCGCUGUACAGUAAUAAUUAUUUUAGCUUGUGCAGGUCUGGGGAACGGGUGGAGAUGGGAGCAGAGCAGGGAGAGGGAAGCCAUUAGCAGAAACUGGAGUAAUGUUGUGCUUUUGCACAUCUUUCUUAGUCGUCUCCUGCUGGGAGUAAAGCUCGUCACUCUGUAGCUGUCACAUCUUCGAACCACUGGGCUUAACUUACCACUUCUGUUGGUAACUGAAGAGAAAAAAAAACAACUACAUAUGAAAGAAAACACCCCUUUUUCUUGCAAAACCACCAUUAACCAGUCUGUUCCCCACAGACCUACAUGCCAGCAGUCCGUGGGGUACCUGUACAGCAGCAUCUUUCACCCUGAGCAUCCCACAGCACUGCUUGACAGUGUGGAAACCAAGGCAUGAAAAUUCCACAACUGGCAAAGACACCAAUUACACAAAGCAAGGAAGGGAGCCCCCAGGUCUUGAUGCUAUGAAGAUUCACAAUCCAUUCCCCUGGCCAGCACUAUAGAGCCAACAGCAGGUUUCCUGAUUAUGCCUGGAGAUCUUGACUCUCUGUCAACCCUCUGAGAAGUCCACAUUUUCCACAUUUGGAGGCCACCAGAAUGAAGAAUGCCCAUCUCUUUCUUCCUGCCCAUGGUCUCAAACACCCUUGCACCCAUCCCUUUAACUCAUUAUGCUGAAAUUCUGGAGAACUUUUUGCAGGUGUAAAACUCUGCAGGUGGCUCAGUGCUCUACUGAUGACAACAUUAAAUAAUACCAGGAACAUGGGAGGGAUGUUUGUUUUCUCUGCAGGAUUCAGCCACAACAACAUGCAGUGGAAUCUCCAGAAACAUUAUCAGACACAUCACAAAGCCUUUUCAAACUCUGGAGCACUGGCAACAACAGAGAAAAUGUUCAAUGUCCUUGUUUGAAAGCAUCUCCAAGGGAAAUUGUGAAAUCUUUUUAACUGCCAGGGACGACAGUAUAUGUCUGCAAUGCCCUCCUGGCAGCAGAGCAGCAUGAGAUCUAACCCAGGUCCCUCUGAGAACUAAAUUUCGAGCCUAAAACUUGAAUGUAAACAGGUAUUUCUUAGACUAUUGUUUCCAGACCCAUCCAUCUUCCCUUCUUCACAAAACAGCUGAGACUGUUUUUUUGUUCAGAAGGGAAGGUACCCAAGUGAAGUGUGUAAUCCAAUUAAUUUGAGUUUUAUUUGACCAUGUCAAAAUCCAUCAUGGUUCGGGAGUAAGAUGAGAUUGGGAAACGAGCAUCGAAGAGCAAUUGCAGAGCCUUUUGUUUUUAAAGAACAAGUGGCCAACAAAAUUAAAUGUGUAUCCACUGAGAGGAGGAGAGGAUAGGCUACAAAUGAACUGGGAUUUAAUUACUGCUGGAGGUAAACCAGGAACAAGCAUUUGGGUUACAAAACAUUCCCACUAAGUGGUACGUUACUACAAUGAUGGAGUUAUACCCCACAAAUCCACCCACCCUGACAUUAGAUCCACUGGACUCAAAGUUAUUUAUGAAAGGCAAUUUGGUAACUGCGACACAGAAGAGAGCAGUGUCUCAGUUCUAACACUGAGCUGAUUCUACACCACAUACCUGAUGCACGCUUUUGUAAGUGGCAGAGAAGGAAAGCAGUGCUGCAGCAGCGGCCCCAACAGAGGGGCAGGGCAGUCUGGCUUCUGGCUUGUAUCUCAUGUUUCUGACUAAGGGAUAAAUUCCCCCUUUAUAAGCUUGAUUUGUUGAGACAGGAUGGAAAUGAAGUAAUCCUGUCCUAAUUUCUUUCUGCUACCUGAUCUGGAGGGAGACAACUGGGACCAAUUUCUUUACCACCGCACUGUGAAACUGUGAGAAAACGUCUCCCCAUUUUUGGCUUCUGCCUACUGAUAAACACUGCCAACAAGAACUUAUUGUGAUUAAUAAAGGCACAUGCAUUAACCACAUUCAGGCGGAACCAAACACUGCAGUAUUAAUAAUAAUCCAAUACAGCUUUCUCACAUCUCUGUGGGUGCACAUGCCCAUUACCAGGAAUAUGCUUCCCUCUGCUGUCAGCAGCUGGAAUCUUGUGUUUAUAGUUUUCAGAUGUGCUCCAUUAAAAAGAAAAAAAGAAAAGAAAAAAAAAGAAAAGGAAAGGAAAACCUAUGCAGGAUUUGCAAGGCUAAGCUUUAUUGGCUGUUGAGGAUCAGCUUUCCACCAACCUGUGGUAGGCAAAAUCAGCCAGCACGUAAGGAAAACAUUAAUUUUGUAAGAAACUGGUCUCAAAAUUGCAUAACUUUACCAUGACCAGGCAGAUGACUUAUACUGGCAGAUCAGUAUUGAGAUUUUUUUCUCUUAAACAACAGAACUUGUUACAGAUUUUGGGCUCACAUACCCAAUGUCAGUACACCAACAAAACCAGCUUGUUCCACGUAGUCUCUGCUGUACACAUCUAUAGGAAAUUUCAUCUCCACAGAACACUACAGAGCCCUGCCUAUGCCCUGGGAGGAAUUGGAUGAACAAUGUGCCCCCAGCAGACAGCCCUGCUGCACCUUUCUAACUCCUGCAAUUCAGUGAGAGGGCAAUAUACAGGAGUUGGCAGUGCCUGGCUCACUCAACCACCACCGAAAGCUAAAGAAGGAGCAGAAGGAACCCAAGGAAGUGUGAGUGGAAUAGAGCAACAUUUUCAGGCAUGAGGUUUGGGAUAAAGCUGUCAGUAGCUGGCAGAGGGCAUGGCAGCUGCACGAGGGGAAAGGCCUGUGCUUUCUGCUCUGUCCAAGCACCAGUUAGCAGGUAACAUUUAUUUAAUCAGUUACAAAACUGAUUAAAUAAAAUUCUGCAACACAAAAUUCCAGGGAGUGUACAGCUUUCUGCUUCUUACAUGACCUGAGUUACAAAUGCAGGAGAGCCUGUCAGCUCCAUCAGUGCCACUCUCUGCAACCGCGGUAUUUUAAUUCCAUACAGCAUUAGGGCUUCAUCUGGAAACCUGUAGACAACAUCAGUUGCUGAGUUCUCCCAAAAGUAGAUAAAUGAAGCAAUGCUAAGUUUCCUGGCUACUACUUCUGCACCAAGAAAUCCACUACAGGUAGGAAAAAUACAGGGCUGCCCCAGGAUGCAGCGGUCACCAUUUGCUCAUGGACUUCAAGUCCAUGUGGGAGCCUGCUGCCCAGUAGUGGCUGAAUUAAUACAGGUAUUUAUCCACUUGUUUACCUAUUUCCCAUUUUGGGACAAUAGUGUUUACUCUUCUCAUACAUCAGCUGGGAAGGCCAUGCAAUCUGUGUCUUUGCAAGCUUUUAAGCCUAUCCAUUAUCUUGCAAGAGUUUAAUUUAAAUAGCAGCAGGAGGAAAGGGGCUGUGAUGGUACCUAGACCAUCCUUUGGAAUAAAAGGCUUAAUGCAGAAUUUUCUUUGUUAGAAGACUCAGGAAUGCAGCAGCUCAAUCUACAUUUUGUGAAAAACCUUAGCAUUGAACCUCAAUUAAUUUAAUCUUGUCCAUAUGCUUUAAGUAACUGAAUAUAAAAUAGAACUGUUAAAAGUUCUUUCCAAAUUAAAACUACAUCUGUUCACUUCACAGGAAAAGAAGUCUGGAAAGGAGAGUGGGUGGAAGGAAAAGGAAAGCUCUAGAACGCCAUCAGGCACAGGGAGAUUUACUAAUCCUUGGCUGUAAGCAGUGCAACUGUGCUUUGAAACUGGACACGAGCAGAAGAGCUGGGGAAAAGGCACAGCUGAAGUUUGGGGGAGUGGAGAUGGGAGACCAGCAGAGCUGGGGCUCCAGGGGUUUACACACCAAGCAGAGAUAUGUCUGAGUUCUGCUUUACCAUUAUUAGAUGCCAGCAACACAAGAGCAGACCAGAAGAAAUCUGAUCAAGCCUGAAUAUGACUGCUCAGAUAAGAGUGCAUGACGUGCCUUUCCAAGAAAGCCUUUUCUUGCCAUGCACAAAACAAAUCAAGCAAAUAUAUCUUUAAAAUCACCACAAGCUCAAAGAAAUGUUGACCCUCCAGACACAGGGAAAGAAUAAAUUACAGUCUUGGUCUGGGCUUUUGAGCCCACAGUUCUGUGUUUUGCAUGGAUAAGGGAUGAUGCUGUGCCAAAAACACAGGUGGGGAGACAUGUCUGCAGGGGCAGGAAAAGAGCUGCACUGAACAGAUGUCCUCGUUAUGUUAUGUAACUUCAGAGAUGCAAACAUUCAGUAGUUGCUCAUUUCUGAAUAUCCCUGAGCCCUGUAAUACUGCAACAGCAGCACCACCAGAUCUCACAGCCAUGCAGUUUCAAAGCACCAGCACCUAACUGGCCAGACAUACUGUAUUUAUUUACCCACGUUUCAUCUUGUACAGGAACUUCCAAGAGACCCACACAAUACAGGCAGCUUCAUCCUGCUGCUUCUAGGGAAGGCAGAGCUCUGACAGAGCACAACAGGGAAGGAGGGAAGAAGAGCUGAGCUGCUCUGGGCCUGUCCAUCCUGCUGAUGUACCAGAAGGAAAAAAAAAAAGAAAAAAAGGG
Centrocercus urophasianus (Greater sage-grouse) is the source of this 12096-nucleotide long non-coding RNA. RefSeq lists it as uncharacterized. The record is from RefSeq and is a predicted model, not a curated record. The transcript has 2 exons. NCBI's taxonomy places the organism in Eukaryota, Metazoa, Chordata, Aves, Galliformes, Phasianidae.